GAGACCCCGUCUGGUAAACACGGCUGCAGCAAAAGAAAGUGUGGCAACACACAUCUGCCAACAGUGUUGGAGCAGUCCAGCAGUUAUCCGGUGCAGUGACUGUCGACCACGCCCCUUCUUCUGUGCUGAAUGUGACAUCAGCAUGCACACCAGACAUGUCCUCCACAAUAGAGAUGCCAUGACUGCUGGAUUCUUCCAGCCAUUGCCUCCAACAACUGUCGUGGUGGAUAAAGCGCUUUCCCAAUGUGGCAUACCAAGCCACUUGGAGUGCUGCAGUGGCCGACCUAAACAGCAGUGACUACUGGCCGGCAGCUCUUCAGUUUGCCACAAUUUAUACUACCGAUAUAUUUUUCUCAUUCGAGGAAAUGAAGAUGGUGGCACCAGGACUGUCCUGCCAAGCAUUUUUAAGAAUGCUGGAUCAGUGAACUUGUUCGCUUUGGUCGUAUUGGCAAGAUCUCUGCAGACAGUUUUCAGAAAAGUUUUUUUUGAGUGGGAGGCUGUGCGAUUUGAGGUGGACAGUAUAUGCAAGGAAGAGCCCUUCAUCUGCCCUGCAUGCUCCACAAAUACAGGUCCUUCUCAAAAA
Long non-coding RNA from Cyprinus carpio carpio, 583 nucleotides. The record is from Ensembl. NCBI's taxonomy places the organism in Eukaryota, Metazoa, Chordata, Actinopteri, Cypriniformes, Cyprinidae.